GUAAUUGCAAUGUCAAGGUGUCUUUCAAAAGACUAAGCGAGUCUAGUUUAGCUACCUCAAAAAGGCUAAUCAGUUUUUUCAUUGUAAUCCAAGUAGCUUAUGAUUUAUCACCAUGAGGUUUAUUGCUAAAUUUUUAUUAGAAUACAUAAAAAUGGGCGUGCCAUGAGUCCUCGACCCAGCCGUCGUGGGUUCGAUUCCCGGACCCGGCGAUAUUUGCCGCAUGUCUUCCCCCCUCUCCUUCCCCGUUUCCUGUCAGCCUACUUUCAUAUAAGGCCCCCUGGAGGGGAGAAAAAAAAAGAAAAAAGAAUGCAUAUGUAACAGGUGGCACUAUUAGGUGUCGCACUCUCUCCAGCCUGUGCCUCCAUAAAAGGGAAGCUGAUAGGGUGGUGGCCAGGUGUCAAUUUCCUGUGUGUUAGACCAGCUGUGUGUUGGGCCCACGCUGUUUGCUGGCUGUGGUAGGUUGGGGGAAAUUGUUUUAAAGUGAUUCUUUUAAGUAAGUUGUGCUGAUGUGGUGUUUUUAUACAGGACUGCAUUGUUGAUGGUGUUGGCUGGUAGCGUUACCUGGGCGUUCGACACCGCAGGUAGGUUUUAUACAUUGGUCUUUUUAAUCCGAAUGAAUUGUGUGUUUAUAUAUUGUUUUAUUUGCUAGGGUUGUACCACAUUGGAUACACCAAGAUUUGAUUUGGAAGUGUUGAUUUAUGCAAUGCAGUUUUUGCACUGCCUCCUGCUGUCCUUUUAGCGUUUGUUUUUUUUCUUUUUUGUUAGUCCGCCCAGUUAGGAUCAUUUUUUUGCUUGUAGUACUUGUGAGGGUGGGCUAACAACUUUUUCAUUCAUUUUGUUUAUUUUGUUUAUUUUGUGGCACUUCCCUGAAUACUUACAUCCUGUUUGGUGUGAUCCCUAUGUUGGGUUGACAACGAACGGAUAAAGCUAGCGGGGAAUCCUUCAUGUAUUCAACAAUAAAUAUCAAUAGUUGACUUAAUCCCUGUUGUUGAUUAUUACGCUUUGGCUGGUCUCAGCUAUAACACAUAAAAAUAUCAAAUACAUAAUCAUUACAAUAUCAAGGUGUGUAAUAUCAAUGCAAAGGAUCUCCAACAUUCACAGGGUUAGGGACCUCAGAAAUCUGCUAACAGCCAAGAUCCACAAAUAACUGAAUCCCUCUAAAAUACCUACAAAUACUUGUGUUACUAAUUCAAACACCAAAUAUCCCUUAAUAUGCAUUAAUACGCAAACCGUAUUCGAAAUAUUGAAAGAGCUGACGUCUACGGUGCUCUUCUUUGCUCCCCGGGGUUACAGCAAAUAAGGAACGCGACGAGUAAAUACCAAUCCUGAACCGGCGACUGUACAGACAUCACCCAAUGGCAUUUAAAUUAGCAUUGAACAUAAAUAUUUCAGCUGUCCAAGUAGCAUUUUCAAUCAAAUAGUUUUCAUAUAAUCUAUAAAAAAAAUAAAACAGCAAAUAGGCAAAUGUUUCCAUGAGUGAGUUGGAGGGAUUCAACAGAUUUAUGUUUGCAGGCUAAAAAAAUUAAAAUCUCAGGAAUGAGCACUCUGGAUGUCAAUAAGGUAUAUUUAGUCUGAUGCAAGUCAUCUAAGGUAACAGAGAUAUAUUUGCUGCAAUUAGUUAAGAAGCAAAAGGAGAAAAAUAUGGAUUUAUCCCUGAUAUCAUUACAGCAACAUUGCCAUAGCAAUAAUCUUUUUUUUUUUUAAGCCAAAUUCAUCUUUUGGCAAAAAAAA
Long non-coding RNA from Xiphophorus hellerii (green swordtail), 1731 nucleotides. RefSeq lists it as uncharacterized. The record is from RefSeq and is a predicted model, not a curated record. Lineage: Eukaryota; Metazoa; Chordata; Actinopteri; Cyprinodontiformes; Poeciliidae. The transcript has 2 exons.